CCUCUUCAUAAGGAAAUUCAGGGAUAAAAAUAACUAAUUUAAAUACAACUGUUUUUUUUUUUGUAGUUCACAAGAAUGAAUGCUCACAAGUUUCUCGAAAUAAACGUUUCACUUUUUAUUUAAUGUCAUUUUUUUUUUGUCCAACAAAAGAUUAUAAUUUCAUGCCGAAAGCGUAAAUAAAUGUGUUAGUAAAUAUGUGUCAACAAAUCUAUUUUAACAAAGAGACAGCUCAUGCUCAAGCAAUGAAUCGGCAGGCAAACGUGAUAGCAAAUAGCAGACCAUUGUUAUUGUGUAAUAAUCAUGCCUCGUGCACCUCUAGCGAACUCUAAUUAAAA
Long non-coding RNA from Rhinichthys klamathensis goyatoka, 335 nucleotides. RefSeq lists it as uncharacterized. The transcript has 2 exons. Lineage: Eukaryota; Metazoa; Chordata; Actinopteri; Cypriniformes; Leuciscidae. The record is from RefSeq and is a predicted model, not a curated record.